AUUGAACGCUGGCGGCAGGCCUAACACAUGCAAGUCGAGCGGGGUUUUCGGACCUAGCGGCGGACGGGUGAGUAAUGCGUAGGAAGCUACCCGAUAGAGGGGGAUACCAGUUGGAAACGACUGUUAAUACCGCAUAAUGUCUACGGACCAAAGUGUGGGACCUUCGGGCCACAUGCUAUCGGAUGCGCCUACGUGGGAUUAGCUAGUUGGUGGGGUAAUGGCUCACCAAGGCGACGAUCCCUAGCUGGUUUGAGAGGAUGAUCAGCCACACUGGAACUGAGACACGGUCCAGACUCCUACGGGAGGCAGCAGUGGGGAAUAUUGGACAAUGGGCGCAAGCCUGAUCCAGCCAUGCCGCGUGUGUGAAGAAGGCCUUCGGGUUGUAAAGCACUUUCAGCGAGGAGGAAGGGUUAGUAGUUAAUAGCUGCUAAUUUUGACGUUACUCGCAGAAGAAGCACCGGCUAACUCUGUGCCAGCAGCCGCGGUAAUACAGAGGGUGCAAGCGUUAAUCGGAAUUACUGGGCGUAAAGCGCACGUAGGCGGUUUUUUAAGUCAGAUGUGAAAGCCCCGGGCUCAACCUGGGAAUUGCAUUUGAAACUGGAAAACUAGAGUGUGUGAGAGGGGGGUAGAAUUCCAAGU
Molecule: ribosomal RNA, 639 nt
Filed under: uncultured Rheinheimera sp.
Lineage: Bacteria; Pseudomonadati; Pseudomonadota; Gammaproteobacteria; Chromatiales; Chromatiaceae
Description: bacterial SSU rRNA
Rfam family: Bacterial small subunit ribosomal RNA
Source: RNAcentral